UAAUGCUGGCAAAAGAUUGAGAAUCUUUUUUGCUUAUGUUGUUGUUCCAGAGACCAAACUUUGAAAAACACUAUCCCAGAGAAACAAUACCUGGAAUACAGUCAGCUUGCUGGUGGUUUCAAUCAACAAAGAUGGCGGGACGUGAGAAUGACAACAAGCCUGCUGUUUACCGUGUGCAGCAGCAUGGUGUCUGUUCUUCCUCCCGCCCAUGUGGCUAUCUUCUGCACCAGUGGGAAAUUCCAGUCUGCUGUUUUGAAUUCUAUAGAACUAAUCCCUCGGUGCCCCUCAGAGAUAUCAUCCAAUCUUCCUUAGUGGUUUGAGCUCCACCUUGCUGGGUGGCUCCUCUAAGACAGAGGCACCAACCCACUGGCAGCCCACCUCAGAGGGUUGUUUCUACUCUGAGGGACCCUUUUCUUCAUUCUUUUGUUCUCCUAGUACUUGGGUUGCAGCUGCCUGCUGAGGUUACUGUCUGGCUGAUUCCACUUUUGUUCACUCAUCUCAUAAUAAUAUCAGUCUAACAGCUGGAAAAACAUGCUACAUUAAAUUUGCUUUGUUAAAAU
Molecule: long non-coding RNA, 560 nt
Filed under: Ictidomys tridecemlineatus (thirteen-lined ground squirrel)
Lineage: Eukaryota; Metazoa; Chordata; Mammalia; Rodentia; Sciuridae
Description: lncRNA (ENSSTOG00000034724.1)
Source: RNAcentral